RNAcentral lists this long non-coding RNA (4460 nucleotides) under Sinocyclocheilus grahami. Its description in RNAcentral is "lncRNA (ENSSGRG00000036162.1)". Lineage: Eukaryota; Metazoa; Chordata; Actinopteri; Cypriniformes; Cyprinidae. The record is from RNAcentral.
GCGGAACUAAUGACACACUACUUUUAGAAAGACACAUAUGAGGACAGUCUUGUGCUUCAGGUGUCCAGUAGCCAAUCCUAGGCUUUCUUCGGCAGGCGUGCAGAACCACAGCCUUCGGCGCUAGGAUCCAGAAGGCAGGGCUUUGAUUUCCCAACUAAUUCCUCUGGCAAAACACGAAACGCUCAUAUGCACAACUUCCUGGUUAGAGAAGCGGACCGCGCUGAAUGUGAUCGCAGACUGACUUUUUAGAUGCGCGAGAGCGAGGCGCCGCACACAAGAGGAACUGAACGAGCGCGAGCGUCUGAAAGUGCGUCCGGUUGGGAUUAAUUUGAGAAUGCAAAGAGAAUGUAAAGGACGCCUCGGAGAGCAAGAAGUGUGUGCGGAUUGUGGGCAGUCCGAAAUGUCCCACGAAACAGGCACACGAUUUGUCGCCGGUCAUUGAAAUCGCCUCGAUCACUUGUCAUUAUUUUGGUUAGUCAAGUUAGCGUGUUUCCUUCAUUGACGCUCAAUUUGAUCCGCCGUUCCGUGUCGCUCUAAUCGCGCGUUUGGACAUGUGGAGACUGCAAGGAUCGUGUCGUGUGGGGAUGUUGUGUUUGACUUUAUCAGCCCUUCUCAUCCAACCCAUCAGCUGUCAUCCCGCUUCUCAUGUGGAAACAGAGCAUCGUGGGAGCUCAGCCACUCAAAGAGAGCGGAGGGCAUCUGGGGAACCCUAUUGGGCGUAUUCAGGCACCUACGGACCACGAAGGUGGCCCUCUGCUUAUCCAGAAUGCGGGGAAAGGAAUCAGUCUCCCGUGGAUAUCCCAGAUCAAGACACCCAGGUUUCUCAAGAGUGCCAGGAGCUGACCUUGGAUGGCUUUGAAAACAAGUCGUCAAACAGGACCACCAUGAAGAACACAGGCAAAACAGUGUCUAUUGUUCUGAAGAAUGAUUACUUUGUGAGAGGGGCCGGCCUACCUGGACGCUUCAAAGCAGAAAAAGUGGAGUUUCACUGGGGCAGCACAAAUGGAUCAGCUGGUUCUGAGCACAGUAUCAAUGGAAAGAAGUUUCCAGUAGAGAUGCAGAUUUAUUUCUACAAUUCAGAUGAUUUUGACAGUCUGAGCACCGCGAUAAAGGAGAGACGAAUCAUCGCCGCCUUGGCUGUCUUCUUUCAGGUGGCGAAGAAAGACAACAUUGCAGCUGAGCCCAUCAUCACAGGUCUCAAACGAGUAGUCCAUCACGAGAAGGAAACAAACCUUGGUCCAUUCAUACUGAGGGAUCUGCUGCCAUCAUCUUUGGAAAGUUAUUACCGCUACACCGGCUCGCUCACGACACCUCCCUGCAGUAAAGUCGUGGAGUGGAUCAUCUUCAGUCGACCUGUUUACCUCUCCUACCACCAGCUGGAGGCGUUCUACUCCAUCUUCACCACAGAGCAGCAGGAUCAUGUGAAGUCCGUGGAUUACCUGAGGAAUAACCAUCGGCCCACUCAGGAUCUCGACAGCCGGCAGAUCUUCAAAUCGGCUCUGAUGGAUGCUUGGAUGCCCGACCUCAUGACAGACAGCAUGGCCAGCGCUGCAGACUCAGAAACUUCUCGAGGUAUGAUGGCUUCCUUCCCAAAUCAGUGGAGCAAAAAAGUAUUUAGUCAGCCACCAAUUGUGCAAGUUCUCCCACUUAAAAAGAUGAGAGAGGCCUGUAAUUUUCAUCAUAGGGCGGUCAUCACACUCGUGUCUCCAGAUGUCCUGUAUCUGUUCAGAGUGCAAGCUGUAUGUCAGAGAGACCAGCGCAGUGACUUCAGCCAAACACUUUUAUUCAAAGCAAACACCACAAGGAUAUUUGAGGGCACAAGGAUUGUGAAAACUGGAAUGCCCACAGUUUCCCCCGCCUCUUCGGCAGACAUGGCCCCUAUAAGCUCAGGCUCCUCUACCUGGACGUCCGCCGGCCUCCCCUUUUCCUUCGUCUCCAUGGCAACGGGAAUGGGGCCUCCAUCCAGUGGAGGACAAGCCACUGUAGCAUCUGUGGUGACCAGCACUCUGUUGGCAGGACUGGGUUUCAGUGGCAGUGUGAUUUCUUCCCUGCCAGGAUCAUUUUGGCCAACCCACUCUACAAACUCAGGCCCCACACCCACUCAACAUCCAGCCACUCCCACUGCCGAAAGCACUCCAUCUGACAGCAACAUCCUGACCUCUGAGGACAGCAUUGAAGCAAAUAACAAACAGGAAGAUGACCCAUCCAGCCGGAUGGAGUGGAUCAUCCCCCUGAUGGUGGUCUCUGCCCUCACGCUGCUCUGUCUGAUCAUGCUGCUGGCUGUCCUGGUCUACUGGAGAUCCGUCUGGUCAUGGUUGUGGCUGGGUUGCUUCCUCAAAAUUAAGGAGCUGUCUAAAAUCAUCCUGAUUAACCUGCAUUCUACUAACCGGGGGACCGUUUCUGUUCUUAGGAGAUUCUUCCAGACUGCACAUUUGUAUAUUGAAGACAGGAACUCCCCCAGAGUGAUCCACAAUGACAGUUUCCCCAUCCUGUCUACAGCGGAUGACCUGGAGGCUGUUUCAGUCAGGCAGUUCAUCAAACACAUCAUGGAGCAGUACUCCAACAACCAACAUGGCUUUUCUCAGGAGUUCGAUGAGGUUCAACACUGCACAUCUGAAAUGAAGAUUACAGCAGAACGUUCAAACCAACCAGACAACAAGCACAAAAACAGAUACAUCAACAUUGUUGCCUAUGACCACAGCAGAGUGAAGUUGCAGCAACUGUCUGGGAAAGACUCCAAGCACAGUGAUUACAUCAAUGCCAACUAUGUAGACGGUUAUAAAAGACCCAGGGCUUAUAUAGCAGCUCAGGGCCCUCUGAAGUCCACAUUUGAGGACUUUUGGAGAAUGAUUUGGGAACAGAACACCACUGUGAUUGUCAUGAUCACCAACUUGGUGGAGAAAGGCAGGAGAAAAUGCGAUCAGUAUUGGCCAUCAGAGAACAGCGAGGUUUAUGGGAACAUAAUGGUGACUCUGAAGAGCACUAAAGUUUAUGCUUACUACACACUCCGCCAUUUCAUCAUGCGCAACACCAAACUGAAAAAGGGUCAGAAGGGAAGGCAUAACGAACGGCUGGUUGUCCAGUACCAUUACACACAGUGGCCAGACAUGGGCGUACCCGAGUAUACACUACCAGUCCUCAAAUUCAUCUCUCGAUCUUCAGCAGCCCGUACGCCAGGCACAGGCCCUGUUCUAGUUCACUGCAGUGCUGGAGUUGGCAGAACAGGCACAUACAUAGUCAUAGACAGCAUGCUGCAGCAGAUAAAGGACAACGGCACUGUCAACGUCCUAGGAUACCUCAAGCACAUCCGAGCUCAGCGCAACUACUUGGUCCAGACUGAGGAGCAGUUUAUCUUUAUCCAUGAUGCAUUAAUGGAAGCUGUGCUUGGCAAAGACACCGAGGUGCCUGUCUGGCAACUCCAUAGUUAUGUCAACAGCAUUCUCACCUCGAGCCCCACAGGACAAACACGCAUGGACAAACAAUUUAAGUUGUUGACGCAAUGCAAUUCUCACCUCACUGAGUGUUUCAGUGCCCAGAAAGACUGCAACAAAGAGAAGAACCGCACCUCGUCGGUCUUGCCAAUGGAACGGGCUCGGGUGGCACUAGCUCCCCUCCCAGGAGUAAAAGGAACCGACUACAUCAAUGCCGCCUACAUUAUGGGCUAUUACAGGAGCAACGAGUUCAUCAUUACCCAGCAUCCUCUGCCCCACACAACCACAGACUUCUGGAGGAUGAUCUGGGAUCAUAAUGCUCAAGUUAUUGUGAUGUUGCCAGACAACCUCGGCCUUACUGAGGAUGAAUUUGUGUACUGGCCCAGCAGAGAGGAGCCCAUGAACUGCGUAGCUUUCACUGUCACCCUCAUUAAUACUGACAGACUCUGCUUAUCUAAUGAGGAGCAACUCAUCAUCCACGACUUCAUCCUAGAAGCCACACAGGAUGACUAUGUGCUAGAAGUCCGACAUUUUCAAUGUCCAAACUGGCCAGAUCCUGAUGCAUCCAUCAGCAGCACAUUUGAGCUCAUCAACAUCAUCAAAGAAGAGGCUAUGGCAAGGGAUGGUCCCACCAUCGUGCAUGAUGAGUUUGGCGCCAUCUCUGCCGGGAUGUUCUGUGCUCUGACCACACUUUCCCAACAACUGGAGAACGAGAGUGCUGUGGAUGUCUAUCAAGUGGCCAAAAUGAUUAACCUCAUGAGGCCUGGCGUCUUCACUGAAAUUGAGCACUAUCACAACCUUUACAAGGCUAUGCUCAGCCUUGUCAGCAGUAAAGACUUCAGACUUGGCUUCAACUACAUGGACAAAAUUGCUGGGAUAGUGGUAACAGAUGAAUCCAACCAGGCUGAGAGCAUGGAGUCCUUGGUGUGAAGUUUUCGGGAAAAUGAGAUGGAACAAAGUGGUUCCUUGAACUUUCCAUGAGGCCUUUUUUCCCAGACUCUUGGUGAAAUAAAAAAGAAAAAAACAACA